GACGAACGCUGGCGGCGCGCUUAACACAUGCCAGUCGAACGGAAAGGCCUGCUUUCCCUUGUGGAUUGCGGGUACUCGAGUGGCGAACGGGUGAGUAACACGUGAGUGAUCUGCCCCCAACUUGGGUAUAAGCCUGGGAAACUGGGUCUAAUUCCCGAUAGGACUGCAGGGUGGUGCCUGUGGUGGAAAACGAUUUUCUAGUGGUUGGGGAUGAGCUCGCGGCCUAUCAGCUUGUUGGUGGGGUAAUGGCCUACCAAGGCGGCGACGGGUAGCCGGCCUGAGAGGGUGGACGGCCACAUUGGGACUGAGAUACGGCCCAGACUCCUACGGGAGGCAGCAGUGGGGAAUAUUGCACAAUGGGCGGAAGCCUGAUGCAGCGACGCCGCGUGGGGGAUGACGGCCUUCGGGCUGUAAACUCCUUUCGACCGCGAGGAAGCCACCUGGUUGGAAGGGUGGUGACGGUAGUGGUAGAAGAAGCACCGGCUAACUACGUG
This 494-nucleotide ribosomal RNA is filed under the name uncultured bacterium. RNAcentral's name for it is "partial 16S ribosomal RNA". It matches the Rfam family "Bacterial small subunit ribosomal RNA", at positions 28 to 507 of the family's 1533-position model. The record is from RNAcentral.